RNAcentral lists this ribosomal RNA (374 nucleotides) under uncultured Prevotella sp. RNAcentral's name for it is "bacterial SSU rRNA". It matches the Rfam family "Bacterial small subunit ribosomal RNA", at positions 355 to 724 of the family's 1533-position model. Lineage: Bacteria; Pseudomonadati; Bacteroidota; Bacteroidia; Bacteroidales; Prevotellaceae. The record is from RNAcentral.
GGAGGAAUAUUGGUCAAUGGGGCGGAAGCCUGAACCAGCCAAGUAGCGUGAGGGAUGACUGCCCUAUGGGUUGUAAACCUCUUUUAUAAGGGAAUAAAAUACGGGACGUGUCCUGUUUUGCAUGUACCUUAUGAAUAAGGACCGGCUAAUUCCGUGCCAGCAGCCGCGGUAAUACGGAAGGUCCGGGCGUUAUCCGGAUUUAUUGGGUUUAAAGGGAGCGCAGGCGGUCUUAUAAGCGUGACGUGAAAUGCAGCGGCUCAACCGUAUGAUGUGCGUCGCGAACUGUGAGACUUGAGUGUAUUCGAUGUCAGCGGAAUUUGUGGUGUAGCGGUGAAAUGCUUAGAUAUCACGAAGAACUCCGAUUGCGAAGGCAG